AUACCUUGAGGGAAAUACACAGUCCACAGAGCAGCCCUCAAAUCUACCAAGACACAAGAGUCCCGUUUCCCAUUGUUAGGAACCGGUGAUGCCGAGAAUAGCUGCAAAAGCCUUUCCAGUACAGAUGGUCAGCAGACUUAAGUGAGCUUGAGCAAGGGCCAGAUCCGCUUUAAUUACUCAACGGCCACUGUUCAAUUCAUGGCAGGGAGAUUUAACUUUUAGCACACAAAACAUGUCAGUAAAUACCUGCCAAUGCAGAAUGCAUUAUUUAAAUAACCUCCUUUCUUUUUCAACCUUUCUCUGGAAAAGCCUGAACAUUAUUUGUAUGGAUUUAUGGAGAUGUGAAAGCUUAAAGUAAUGUUUCAGAACUAACAAAUGUGGGUAGAUGUGACUUGUAAAAAAAAGAAAGAAAGAAAUCAGCAACAAGCUGAUCAUAUACCGGAACAACAAAGACUGGAGGAUUAAGGCAGUCAGGGAAGAUGAAAGUGUAGGCAAGUUAGCGGGGGUGGGGAGGGGAGCGUGAGCUUGCGAGGCGUUCCGAAACAGGUUGCACACACACAAAAAUGUUUAAAAGAUUUGCCCGUGUGAUUUCCUCCAACCAAUCGAGAGAUCACAGGCCUGCAAAUGCUUACAAGCGCUCUUUUUUGAUCUUUACAAGCCACAAAUAUUAAGUGAAACACCUUCCUUCGGCCUCCUACAACCUUUAAUGGCGGCGGGAGAAGGGGGGAAGAGAGAGAGAUAUUCCCUUGAAAUGGUUUCAAAGCAAUGAAUUUGGCAAAUAAAUGUGAAAAGCUAUUCCAGAAGUGUUGGAUCCUCACAUGAAAUACUAAGUUAAUUAGUAGCUCUCCCCCCUCCUCAAAAUGAACUGACACCCUUAAAGAACUAAGGGAUUUCUUCCUUGUUCUGGACACCCACAUUCCCCCCCCCCACCUUGUUUGAACAAUUCCAAGAAGUGAUAACUCUGGAGUCUUAAGCAUUGUGCUGACAGUCAGCUGUCAUUCAUUGUCCUUUCGUCUGACAACCCCAGGCAUUCAGGCCUGGAUUCAUGAGUUUUCCCUUUCUCUCGAUUUUUAAAAGGAGCUGGGGGAUGGGUGAGUAUAUCAGAGGAUUCAGCUGUGAAUAGACUUUUGUUUUUCUCUUUCUUUUGCCUCCUGACUGUGUCAAAUGCAGUGUGUCUCUCAUGCAGUUUCCCUCUUUAGAGAGCCUUGCCUGGGCCAGCUAGUUAGUAUUCAGAAACAAGCGAAAGAGGAUAAAAUCCUUCUCUCCGGCUUGCUGAGACUGCAAAUAAGCACUUAGACUAAAAAGUGGCGUAGGGGGUGGGAGGGAAGAGAAGACUUUUGCAGCCCUUGUUGUUGACUGGGACCUGCCAAUAUAUUCUCCCUCCAAAUGGCAUAAAAGAGAAAUAUCUAGGCAGUAGGAGGGAUAGAUGACAGUUAAUACACUUGUAGUGUAUUUGCUCGAAGACAGCUUACUUGUGCGCUGUACUCUGAACUGUAGGAUUUGCCAUUUAAUCUUGUUUACUUAUUGUAAUGAGAAUCAAAUGGGGAAGUUAGCAGUGGAAAUGAAAAAUUCAUCCUUUCCCCGCAUGUAAUAGAGUCAGUGCUCAGAAAGGCACAGAUCAAAGUAGUCAGGGCUCUCGUUCCUAUUUCAUUUCUUGCUGAAACUCCCUCUCAGAAUAUAUCAACCACUUUCCCCCUUUCUGGGGCUUAAUAGUAAGGGAAUAUGAUUUUUUUUCCCCCCAGAAGGACAACAUGCUGAAGAAAAGUAGUUCAUGGUGCUGUGAGACCUGGGCUGAAAUCCCUGCUAGUCAGUUGUUGGGAAGAAUUGAGCUUAACGCUCAGGCAUCCCAAAACUAAAAGUAUUCUAGUGUAUUGUUGCUUCUACCAGUGCAAACUAGUUAACUUCCUAGUCUGACUAGUGGUGCUCUCAGGGUAGGAAUUGGGGGUGUCAGCAGAGUGAGGUGUAAGGCUCCCAAACAGGCUUUAACCCAUUUAGACGUGAGGUAGAACACACUGAUAUCUAAAGAAGCCCCCGCCAUAUAAGAAAAGUAGGUUCAGAGUCUAAAAUCACCUAAUUGCACCAAUGAUAUUGGCCUAAUAUUUAUAUAGCAUGUUCAAAAAGUCCACACACAUCAUCUCAGUAAUCUUUCCAAGAACCCUCUAAUGUAGACCAACCUCAUAAUCUGCAUGUGGGGGUGGUGUAGAUGCAGUGCAGACAUGCAAAGAUAGGGCCAAACUAGACAAUAGUGAUUACAUUUAACGCAUCUGGAUUGUUCAUUUUAACAACAGCUGCAAACGGCCCUACCACAGUCCUGACACCCACAAAAAUCGCCCUUCCCAAAACUGCUAUUUAUCUCAGAAGCUGAGACUGAUGCCAAUGGAAGCUUCCUGGUGAACAGGGAGAGUUUAUUUCUUGUGAGGACUAUGGCAGAGAGAAAGUUUAAAAAACACAAACAGCCUUUCCCCAUACACCAGUCUUAACAAAGCCACCCAAACACACACACAGCACAAUACAGCACAACAUGUAGCUCUUUUUUAAAAAGGAGUGCACACACCCCUCAAAAGUCCUAUAUUUUAUUUAUUUGCAUUUUCACCCUACCUUCCUUCCAUCCUGGAACCCAAGUGCCAUUCACGUGGUUCUCAGGAGCUCAUCCAUCCCAGCAUUGACAAACCCAGACCUCUUUAGCUUCAGCAAGGCCACAUGAUCCUUCAGACUAGUUUGGUCCAAGGUGGCCUAUUGAAGCUUGUGGAAGAAAACUCAUGAUUGAGGUAGCAAUUGAGCCAGGAAUUUUCCAGCUGCUCUUUGCAGCAUUCUACGCUACUUCUCUUUUUUUGCCACCCUGUGAUCCAUUCUGGGUGAAGUGCUUGACACUCAGGAUUCAUAGUUUUGAGUUCAUUCCUCCAUUUUAUAUACUUGCAGUAGUGAACUAGUCAGUGCCAGAAGGGAUAUUGAUCCAUGUGACUUGGCAUGUUUCCAGGUAGGGUUACUGUCCCCUUCUCCUGUCCCUUCCAGAGACUCUCUUUGCCCACAUCUAGAGCGCAGUCAGUCAUACAACCCUAAACUGGUGCAAGAUGCGGUGUGUUAGGCACACCACCAACUCGUAAUGCUGCAUAGUGAUGUAAAAACCCUUGCAGCCAAUUCUGUCCAACUUUUUUGCCUUGGCACAGCAGAUCCUAGGACUAAGCCUCAUCCUCUAUCCUUAAAAUGGGGAAGUGUUGUUAUGUCAGCAAGUAAGGUAUAGAUUGCAAACCAUUUUGCUUAUUAAUGGUGCUAUGAUAACACUUACCUUCUGUGCUCAUAACUCACCCUCCCAUCACUUUUCGCAUUUAUCAAAUUAUUUCCCCAUUUUGCUAAUGAAAAGUUGCACUCACUUUCCUUUUUGCUUUUCAGUUGGCACCUUCUACACUUCCUUUCCCGCUUGGCCCUUAUAAAUACAUCCAGGAUGCUAGUAUAUUUUCUCUCCUCUGCUAACUUCUUUCCUGGUAUCUAUUAGAAGCUGGUAAGACAAAAGCACUUGAUUGCAAACCAGCUGGGUGUAGUUGAGGUUACUAUUUUGAAAGAUAUAAUUUAUCUUUAAAUUGCACAUAAUCUAAUUGUAUGUGCACUGCCUACAUCAUUGUUCUUCCCUGACAACUGUAACAAAGAAACAGUGGGCACAAUCUAACAGGAUGGUCCUCUCCGCCAGACUUUCCCAACCUGGUGCCCUGCUGAUGCUUUGAGCUAAAAUGCCCACCAGUCCUAGUCUGCAUAGCUGUGCUGGCUAGGGUGAAGGCAAGUGCAGUCUAAAACAUCUGGAAUGAAUGUGAGCAGUGCAAGAUCACACUAUCGUUCUUGCACAGGUCAUCUGUUGGGCUUGUGUAGAAGAACUUCACCUUGGGUUGUGCCCAUUUAUCGCACUGGAUUGUGCCUAGCAGUGAAACAAAAAUAAAGGAACCUAAAUUUAGAACUGAAUUAUAGGGGAAGCUGGAUUUCCAUGCUCCCCAAAGAGUGACACCUUGGGUUGAUCUUUCAGAGGAGUUCAAAAGUGUCAUGAAAGUGUUCACUUAGCCAGUUGACUUAGCUACAGGACGUAACCUCUGCCCACACCUGAUUCACCUGCCUUCAGUGACAUCACAAAACAGCCAGAUCUGAUUGGCUGUGAGGUGCCAUGACACCAUCAGGCUCCCUGUGUGGCACCCUGAUUGGCUCAAGGAUCAAGAAGAAGCCCCAGCAAAAAAAGGGGGGGGAGAUAUAUACACCAAAACAGUCCCAGUCAGUGGUGCUAUCAGGGCAGGACUUGGGGACAGAGGUCUAGGGCUGUCCUCACCAGAGCUGGCACAGUAUGUUUUGAAGUAAGUGAAGUAAUACACAUUAUUAUCUUCAAAAUGUCUUUGAUCAUUACGUACAGUGUCUUAAAUAACUUAAGUGUGCCAGUAAGAGGAAAGGAGAGCUACAAAUCACUGCAGACUAUUUGGGGGGGGUGUGGGUUAUUUCAGGGAGCUGCAACCCCUCAAACCCCAUUUUACUUCAAUUGCUUUCAAGAACGAAAAUUGCGUGAAGCACUCCUUAAAUAUAAUAGUUUCUAUGCUACUGAAUCCUUCUGCAUGUUCUCUAUUCUGCUAAAUGGUAACGUUCUCUGUUCUGCUACAUGGCAAUUAAACAAUGUUUGUUGAAUUGUUUAAUGAUAAAAUAAAAUUCUGUGGUAACCAGACAGAGCCACAUAUGCCAACACAGGUACUUAACUUUUUUUGUGACUGAUACAUUAUGCCUCCCAUGUCUACCUUAAGGCUUUAUCUCACUGCUUUUGAAGUAAAUGGGAGUUUAAGUGGGCUUUUAACUGAAGAGCAUCUGUGCUCAGCCCUGGAGUAUCAUCAACACUCACAACUCCUGCAGUUUGUAAGCUCUAACCUGCCGUGUAGCUGUGGCUGAUCCAAAGCUCAGACUUCUAGCCAUCUAAGCUUUAUUGAAUUGAGGGAAUUAAGGUGGGAAAUGAGUACAAACAGGUGGAGAGAGUCAAACAUCACAGAUAGGCUUUGCUACCAAGCAUUUGGGAGCCAGGCUGGUAGCUGACUGAGGAGGAGGUGUUGUUGUGGGACAAAUGCCCUUUAUCCAGAACUGGGCUACAACAGCCCUACAAGCUGAUUGCUAAACAGGUGAUCACUGCUACCUCCCACAGUACAGAUCAGGUAUGGUCGAAACUAAGAAAUUAUCAUUGGAAAGAACUUAGUAUUUCCCCCCUCCCCGAUCCAUUAUUUAAUUUGACAUAAGUAGCCAUUGCCUAUAGUUGCCAAAUAAAAUGCUGUUUUGACUUACUAAGCUCCGUAACUUCAGUCUGGUCCACAAUCAUGGAUAAAGGAAUGCUUCUGCACUCAGCUCUUCUUGUGGGCAUAUCAUAGGAAUCUUGUUGACCACUGUGAGAACAGGAUGCUGCAAUAGAUGGGCCUCUGAACUGGCAUCCUUAUGGGUGACUCUGCAGUGCCAUCUCCCCACUGCAAGGCAGGGGAUAAUGGAAGCAUUGGUGGUGAAAGGUCCAGUGAAUACUGGGAUUUGGAAUCUUCGCAAGUUUGAUGCAUUUGAGAUUUGAGGCUUACCAAAUUUGUAUUAACCUAUUAUCAACUGGAUUUUUAGUUUGUGAUGGCUACAUAGAAUCAUCUCUUGGUGCAAAGAGAUCUGCAGUCUGAGACCUGCUGGCUUCUGCAGAAAAGGAAUAACCAUUGCUGUCUUGAUUUUAUAGCAUACUAGAAGUACUUUGUAGAGCGCUUUGAAUAUGUACUGUAACAGGAUAUAUACUGUACAUAUUUUAUGUUAACAAUUAUUUGCAAAAAACUUUGCAAGACCUGUAAGCAAAUCACAGUAAAUUUACAGGAGAGGAAACCAAGUUUAGGGGGAAAUGAAUGAGAUUUGCCUGGCUUUGAAAACCUGUUGAAAGACAACAUAUCAUCUCCAGACUCAGGAUGAGGGAUUGAUGGGACUUCUGCUCCAACCCUAAACAAAUAUGAAACAAACACAUGAAAAAAAGAAUGGCAUCAUAGAGAGAUGGGAGAUCUGUGGUCAUCCAGAUGUUUCUGAACUACAGCUCCCAUCAGCCCCAGCCAGCAUGGAGAGCGAUCAGGGAUGAUGGGACCUGUACUUCAACAGCAUCUGGAGGGCCACAGGUACCCCAGCACUGACAUAAUCCAUCACUGCCUUGUUAAAGAAAAUGUAUGGGAGGGGCAGAGGAUACACACACACACACACACACACACACACACACAAACUUCAAUUUAUGUAGGUACAAAUACACAGAGAGAACCGUUUAAUGGAGAAUAGCUCCUUAUCUGUAACUCACUUUACAAGGCAACUAUUAGUUCUUGUUAUCAGAGGUUUUGCAGAAUCUUCAUAUUCUGCUAAAAGCUAUAUAUAGGAUUAGGUUUUAUUCUAUCUAAUCAGAUGUUUUCUAUGUAACUUGGAUUUUUGUUGUUGUUGGUUUUUUUACAUAUCACUACAGUGUUUGUUUUGCAGUUUUAAAAUCAUGCCACCUACAUUUUUUUAUCUGUGUCCUGCCAUGUAAUAAUAAUAAUAAAUCAAUGAGGUUAAACUGUGAAAAGUCAACGCCUUUUUCUUCUCUUCACAAAGCAUUUUGCAGUAGGUGGCCAAGUAUUUAAGCCAUUUUGACUUCGUGUCAACUAUCCCAGAUAUGCAUGGGUAAGAAGAAGGAAAGGCUGUACUUCAUUAUUUGCAGCAAUGAAUUGACAUGAAAGAAAACAUUUUAAAGAGCCCAGUGACUUCAUUUUCUUUGUGUGCUGAAUAUCAGGGGUUCCAUACCAUGAAUGUUUUGCCUAUGUAAUGCAUAAUGAAUUCAUUGAUAAGCUAUGCACAAAUUUUAUGCUAGGAGGAGAGCAGUUGCACUGAAAUUUCGGACUCCUCGGAAGAUAGAGAAUCAACCCACACAUUUCCACUAUAACCAAGUUUAGACACAUUGAAGUCAGAUUCUUGCCAUUGGCUUCUGCAGAAUUAAGGUUAAACUGGGAGCAAGUCCCACUGACCUCGAAAAGACUUAUUUCUCAGUAGUGAUGUAUAGGAUUUCACUGGAAAUCAAUUCUAUCCAAGCACAGUGGCUUAACUAUCAUUUUUUUGUUUUGUUUUGUUUUCAGAUUGUUUAUUUUCCACUGUGUUCAGGAAUAGUCUCAUGCUGUUUCUGACAAGAUGCAUAAAUGAUGACGGCCCUUGUGUCUCAGAACUGGACUCAGGUAGGCCUGGACAGGGAGCUACAGAUGGGCAGGAAACUUAGAAGCUGCCUGCUGUGUGCUACAUCUGCCACAGCUCACAUGAUAGGCAUACCAGGAGAAGGAAGGUACAAAGGAAGACAGAAGGCAAGUCCCACCUCUGCACAGUGCUACUGUCAGAGCAAACCUUUUCAAGCCAGAGUCGUUGCCCCAAGAAACUAUCUCUAUAAGAGGUGACUUCAGACAGAUGGAGAGUCUGUGGCUCUGCUCAUGUUGCUGGACUCCAUAACCCAUUAGCCCCAGCCAACAUGGUCAAUAGACUGAAGUUAUGGCAGUUAUUGACCAACAACAUUUGGACGGCGAGAGUUUCCUCAUCUCUGCUGAUGGAGAAAUGUGUGAGGGAGUAGUCAGGUGAGCUAAAGGCCAUGAGAGGGAUGUCUGAUGGAACCCCACCGUAAUCCUUGCCCAUAUCCCCUCAUUGUGAAUUGUUGCAAGCCUCUCUGCAUGAAGCUAGUGCCUAGAGAAGAGUUGUACUGAGAGAGAAUCAGAAACGUGCAGCCAUUAAAACAAAAAUACUGAUAUAGUUGUCUCCCAGAAGAUGUCUUUGUUUAAGACUUCUCCAGUCACAACAUGACUGCCAGAUCACCUAACAAAAACUGGGUCCCCCCCCCUUUGCGAAGCAGAGCUUAUCCUGUGUUUCCAGCUUGUCAUAGAGUCUGCAAUUCUUUUGUAUAUUUUUGUGGUGCUUUUGACAUUCAGAAACAACCUCAACCCAUGCAGCAAACGGCAGUUAGAAAAAGUGCAGCCAGGGAGUUAAAAUAUUCUCUUGACUUCUUCUUCUUCUUUUUUUUUAGAUAUUUUGAAAGCACCAACCUAAGCACGUCCACAGGAUUUUUUUUUAUUAGCAAUGUCUAAAAAUAUUUGGAGGUGAGCCCUCUCCUCCUGUAAUAGCCUAAAAGAGCUGACGUGUUAUCACAUAUGGUUGAAAUGUCUUUAUCUGGUUAGCUUCAUGCCUGUUUGAGAAGUGUGGGGAGUUCAGUUUCCAUCUGUGUGUGUGCCCAAAAGGUUACUGAGUGUCAGAUGUCGGGGCUCAGACUAGGUCAAUCAGGGAUGCAGAAAUGUGCAAAAAAAUGAUAAAUGGCUUCAGAGGAGAGGGGAAAGCGCAAAACCAAAGCUUCUGUAAUAAGCAAUCUUUUAAGCAGCCCCCUUCAAGGUCAGCAUGGUGUAGAACCGCUGUGCUUUUAUGGAAAAUGGUUACUCUAUAUAUAAACUGGAACAUUAUAAAGUGGAAAAUUAGGAAAAGCUGGUGGGAGAAUGAUAUUCUUAGAGAAUUCAUCUUCUGCUAUCCACUAAGAAUGAUAUGCUUAAAAGUUCCUCCAUGGUUAACUAUGCUCAGAAUCCCAGUUCUGAUUGGAUGCUAAUAGGAGCAAUUGUGGCCUGAUCAUAAUGGGAUGCAUUGUCCGCUGCUGCCUAAGGCAUAGUAUUUUGUACCUCCCAAAUGAGGAAUGAGGCAGAAUAAGACAAAAUAUGAGGAUCUCAAGACAAUGAUUGCUCUAGAAAUAACACCAGGCUAUGGUCAAGACCUUGCAAUUUGCAACCAAGCCAUAUGACAGCACAGUCAGAUCAGCACAAAACAAUGCCAUACAAACCCACUACGGACACAGAUUGAGAAAGAGUGGCGAAUGUCAGUGCCACCAUGGCUCCUGUAUCAUAGAGAAGUAUGGGACUGUGACUGGUUCAGCGAUGACCCAAGGCUGCUGACUGUUCCCAUUAGCUCAGCUAUGUAUUGGUAUCCAGCAAUCAGAAUGAACUGCUGUGUAGUUCACAUAGGUCACAAAACAAGGAUCAGGACUAUUCCAGAUGUUGUGCAGAUGCUAGUGCACUGUUUGGAUGGGGGGUGGUUGUGGCUAUAUAGUAUUAACUAUAGUAUGUCUAUGGACUUACCCUGUGAGGACAGGGUAUUCAGCUAAAUAUUCAGCUAAAUCCUACUCAUGAACCUAAGUUGGUUGUGAAUUUUAGCUUCAAUAGGUUCACUCAGCAUAGAACGUGGAAUGUGAUUCGCAAUGCCUGAUGGAUGGAUCUUUAGUGUGGUCCACAAGGGCUCUUCCACCAGUGACUGGGACAGUUGCGUGGAAUUUGUGGCUCAGUUGCACAAUGGCACAAAGUUGAUUUGCACAUGAACCAUGGACCAAACAAUAUGUAUGUGUUCUUUCAUCACGGUAGGAAUAGCACUGGAAGUGAUGUGCUAAUAAGCUCUUAGCAUGGAGAACAACAACAGCCGCAUGGGUUCAGAGUCAGUACUGACUAGCAGUGGCUCUCCAGGGUUUCAAACAGGGAUCUUCCCAGCCUUACUGGGACCUUCUGCAUGAAAAGCAGAUGCUAGCAAGAAUAAGGGAAACCCCAGUUGAUGAGUAUGACUUGCAGCAUGGGACUGUGCACCAGCAUUUAUCAUUUUAGAAACUGAGCACUGCAUGUACCAACACGACCAUUUCUAUCCCUAAAGCAACUAGGCAAAAAGGAAAAAAGAACUCUGCUCAAUUAGACCCUGUUGUUACUUUUAAUGAGGACUGUUACAGAGUAAUUGGAAACAUAUGUUCCAAGUGACUACAAAACUGAACAAUAUUUUUUUUCUGCCUAAUCUUUAGAUUGAAAUCUUAUGGAUUAUUAUUACAGCAAAAUUCAAGGAAGCCUAGAUGACUAUGGCUGAUUACUUACUCUUUUCACUUUUUUUUGUAAUCUAUAGACAAUAGAUUGAAUGACCUGCAUGGACAUAAUGGGACAAAAUUCAAUAGCUCAUCUGCUGGUGAUCUUGGUGUUCAUUUUCUAUUUUUAUUUUUUUUUAAAAAAAAAAUCUAGUCCUCACAGUGGCAUAGUAAAACCAAAAAGAGAGGAGCUAGAAGGUUGGGUUUUUUAGGACAGUUUGUGGGAUUUCCCCUCAAAAAAUAGAAAAUAGAAAAUCUGUUCCUGUCUUCAAGGAAUAAAAACACAUCCUUUUUUUCAGGGCCUUCCCAGAAGUCACAGUGUUCAUAUAGGGACUGUAAGGUAAAAGGUAAAGGACCCCUGGAUGGUUAAGUCCAGUCAAAGGUGACUAUGGGGUGCAGCUUAGACCACAGCGCCACCACAUUCUUUACCUUUACCUUAUAGGGACUGUAUAUGUACACACACACACACACACACACACACACACUCAGAAUCGGUUAUUUCAAACCUCCUGUGCAGUGCUAUUUUUCUAAAAAAAACAGGUGUCAGAACUCAUCAUGAAUGCCUUCCUCUUUCUCUUAGACUGGCAAUGGCACCCACCUGAGAGCUGCCAGAAGUCACCUGAGACGUUUCAGAACUCACCGGAGAGGUGCCAAAACUGAGUUCCAGCGAGUUCCCCUGAAAAAAAAGCCCUGCUCCUAUUUAUGACUAACAAGCACUACAGCUAAGCUCUCUUCAGGCAUUCCAAAGAAAUGGGAGUGCUCACACUGCCUAUGUGCCUGGGGAUGUGUGGUCCAGCCCUACCCCAAAUGUCCUUGUGGUGAUUCCCAUGCUUGGAAUGUUGGGUCAGGAUCUGGGAAGCCAGGAUUCAUAUCCAUGAAGCUCCUGGGUUGACCUUGGACCAUUCACUGCCCCGUAGCCUAACCUUUAUCACGAUGCUGUUAUAAGAAUAAGACCGGGAGUCUCUGAGCUCCUUGGAGAGAAAGUAGGAUGUAAAAGUAAUAAUUAAUAAAUAAAAUGUCAGGUCCAGCUCCUCCUCUACCACCAUUAAUGCACUGAGCAUGAGAGCUUGCAGGGAGAGUCUAACCGCAGUCACAGCUAAAAUCUCCCUGCAGCUGUUGUGCUCAACACAUGAAAGGUCAGGAGAGGAAAUGGAGGGGCAGUGCGCAUGGGGGUGUUUGAAACCUCACAUGUCCUUUUGAACAGAGCCUUAGUACUAAGGAGGUUGCAUAGAUAGUUUAUUUCCAGAAGAAGGGUAAUGAGAGAGAGAGAGAGAGAGAGAGAGAGAGAGAGAGAGAGAGAGAGAGAGAUCUUUUAUAUGAAACACUGGGGAAAGGGAGAAAAGGAGGCAAGAUUCUGGGACUCUGAGAUCUCUAAGAAAUCCAGAGCAGACCCUAGUAAUGGGAAAGGCAUCACUAGGCCAGAACCAUGGUUCUGCUUCUUCGGCCCCUCAAAGUAGAUGGAAAGAAUUGCCACAGCUCCAUAAAUGACGCAUUCCUGGUUGGAGCAUUCACAAAGAGGCAGGCAGAGCUCAUCUGGAAAUCCAAGGCAGGCUGGAAGCAAAACUUUUUUCCAGUAUUAUUAUCCUGUUUGCAUGUGCCUAAUUAGUAUAUGUCCUCCUGAAUGCUGCCCUCCUUCACCAGCCACAGCCUGAAUGCAUUGAUAUUGUCUCCUUAAAAGUUCAGAACCCCCCAGUGACAGGAAUAUUAAUGCACCAACCCUGACAUAUCUGUUUCAGCUCAUACAUAUGCAAUGUCUUUGUUUUCAGAGAUUUAUGUCAGACUUUGCUGGAGUGAGGUAUUCUACCAUUUUAGAUAAUAGCAUGCCAAAGUGAUGUUAUCAGGCACAUUCGCUACUCACUCAGGCAAACGAGAGAAGCUUCCCUUCCCUUCCUUCCCAGCUUCGGCACGCAGAAACUGUUAUUUAUCCUUAUUUGAUGAAAUCUUUCUGGGGGAAAUGGUAUAUUUUUAGAAGAAGAUUAUGGUCAUCCUGUGGAUUAUCUUUUAAUUAAGAAUGGAUGAUUUGUGCCCACUCUGCUGUAGCAAACGUCUUGCUGCUAAUGAAGUUUAAACAGACUUACUUUAUUUAAUUAUGGCUAAUCACUAGGGUAAAAUGUGGAAUUGUCUUUGAUCCACAUGUAGACUGGUAAUCCUUGUGGCAGAUAGCAUCUUGUAUUCCUUCAAACUUUUUUUUUAAAGUUUCUCCAGGAGGUCCCGGCUCAAGGAAGGGUUAAUUGAGAUAGCUGGACUUGCGUGAUUGAUAUUUUCUCUCCCCCCCCCUUCUUUUUCCCAAGGACGGUCCUUCCCUUCUCUUCCUCUGCCUGCCUCUCUCUCUCUCUCUCUCUCUCUCUCUCUCUCUCUCCAUGCAUUCACCUUCAGGCCUUGUAAUAUAGUAGAUAGCUGCUUGUUUGACAAAAGGGACCUGAGGGGGCCGAGGGCCUGCUGGAUCCAGGAGAGAAAAAACAGAAACGGCUGGAAAGAAAGCAGGGAGUGAGGAGAGGGCAGUAGAGACCAGUGUCAAGCAGAAGAGGGCACUAGUUAACUGACCUAUUUCAGCCACCGACUCUUAUCCAGCAGCUCAAAACAACUGUUUUCUGCAUGGGGCAGUAAUACAAUUUCCCUCCCUGCAAAACACAUGUUUAUAACAUAAAUGACACGACUGAGCAUUUGAUUAUUUGAGCGUAUCUUACAAGUUUCUGGUAAGGCAUUUGAUUGUCUAUCUGGCUUGGUCUCCCACCCCCACCCAAACAAUGAGUAAAAGAAUUUAUAAUAGAAUAAGUAGUUCAGUGAAGAAAUGCAAUUCCAACUUAUAUCUGAGUAGUGUGGGGGUUAGCACCCCCUCCCCCUGACCUACGUUUUUUAUGUGAGGGAGAAGGAUUGCCCAGCCAUCACUGUAACGCCAGACAAUAUUAUUACAGGAAAUAUUCCUGCUGCAGAGGACAGAGGUUUCUCAGCUCUCAAGCCACUAAACCCAGUUUAGUGGGAAUGAUAAAAUGAAUUGUGGGUGGGUAUUACACAACAGACCUUCCAGACAGUCACAAUAUUUUUGGUAGGAGGGGGUAAUUUAAGUGCAUAUUUAGUUUAGCAGUCCUUACCCUAUAUACUGUACCUACAGUAUGAACCCAAGCAAUCUAGGGGGGGGGGGGGUUAAAAUAAUUAUUGAACUUGCCAAGCACACAUUCCAGACCCCAGUUUUUCCAAAAGUAUAUGCUAUUAAGAUUAAAAGAAAGAUUCGAAAAAGACAAAUGAACAAAACAGAACACAGAAACCAGUGGAACUCUGUGACUCAAGCCCAACGGAUCCUAAGCUAUUUACUUUUAACAUAGCAACAAAUAAAUAAAUAAAUAAAUAAAUAAAUAAAUAAAGCAACAAAUAUAGUUACUGGUUUCCCGAUGGUCCUUGUUGGACGAUGGGCUCCUGAUGGUACGAAGGGGACGACAGCUUGUGUUCAACAGCUCACCUUUAAGGGCUCUAUCCAUGGGCAUAGCCGGGGGGGUAGGGGGCAGCUGUCUCCCCCUAAAUCAAGAAAAAUCAAUACAAAUACAAACCUGAGGUUCUUCCCCUCCUAACAAAAGCCUGCGCCCUUAAAAAAAACACACACCCUAACAAAAAUCCUAGCUACGCCCAUGGAUCUAUCCCAGAUACUGGUUUGAGUGACAAUUGCUAUUCAAUGACCAAUCAGACCCCAUGUCACGUUUUGCUGAUAAAAAGGGUCUGACACCCACUGGGGAGUGAGGGAUUGCUAGACACUGGGAUCAGAGGAGUGGGACUACCUGCUUACCUUUCUUGAGGUGGACUCCCAUUCCUAACUCUCCAUGGCUGGAUCUAUUCUAGACACAUCAAAGAAGUGUUUCAGGAAAACACGUUGUGAACUUUAUAUGAGAAAUCACAUUGGCAAAAACGGAACUCAACAGCGCCAUUUGAUGUCACAGUGUUAUAAUGCAUAUACAACACAUAUAAAACACUUUUUCUUUACCAAUCUAGCUGAAGUCUCUUGUCUCUAAACCAGGAAGUGAUCCUCAUUGUUUACAAGGAUCAUUCUUUUAGGGGUGGGGCAUGCAAGGAUUGACAGCAGGUUUGCAGCAGGGCAAGCUGCCAGACAUGAGUAUGCAAUGUUCCAGCUCAGAGGCACAUCCAAAGUCUUUCAGCAAACUACCCUGCUGAAGACCCACGGAAAAGCCUUGGGGUGGGGCCAGCACGGGGUGCAACAGCAGGGUGAGUACAUACACCCUCACUCUUCUCCCUCACAGAAUUGUCAUUGCAAAGUUGUGAGUCAUUGCACAGGACUUGUGAGCUCCCCUUUCUAGUGCCAGAAUUUGGAUCUUCAGAUAUAUGGCAAGGUGAUUAUCCAUCCACAGCAAAGUUAAUCCCCUUCCUUACCUGAAGUUAGGGAUAUAGAUCACUUGAUUUGACUUGUGCAAGCAAAGAAAUAAUGGAACUAUCCUUAUGGGGGCUGAAUUUGCUUGCAUUUGUAUCACUUGUAAACCUUCCUAGGUUUACAAAUCGUGGUCAGCAGAAUUUCAGUAGGAGCCAAACUGCCUCUUAAGACAUUGCUGUAACUUCUGCCCGCUGCAAUCCAAUGGAUCAGCACUCUUUGAUGCUUCUGUUGGAGUAACACAAAUUGGCCAAUUUUUCCAUAGAUGUCUGAGAGAGAUCAGUAGCCCUAGUCAUGUGCACAAAGCAAUGGUGUCUGGGCACGAAGAUUCUGUGUUUUCACAUUCCUCCUUACUACUUUCCCUGACCAAUCAGCUUUCGAAAUAUUCUAUUUCCUCGCCGAGCUUGCAACAUGUGUCUCUUUUUGAAUGAAUAGGACCUAACAUUCACAAUGCCCAACUUAGCACUCUAGCUGGUGUACACACUAAGGCCAGUCAUCCAGACUGCAGUUUAAAUGGGCAGUGACCACUGGGGACUAGAAUUCGCUGUGUGUCUGUACUACUGAAAUCCAUGUGUCUCUUCCAGGCAUGGGAGAUUCCAGGAAGAGCCCAUCUCACAUGAAAUGUAUGUGGAUUCCCACAGAUACAGCCACAUCUAAAUGCACAUGGAUCUCUGGAUCAGCACAUAUGAAGACAGCCAC
This is a non-coding RNA of Podarcis lilfordi (Lilford's wall lizard), 14957 nucleotides long. NCBI's taxonomy places the organism in Eukaryota, Metazoa, Chordata, Lepidosauria, Squamata, Lacertidae. The record is from the annotation of a GenBank genome assembly.